UUAAUUGAAGAGUUUGAUCAUGGCUCAGAUUGAACGCUGGCGGCAGGCCUAACACAUGCAAGUCGGGCGGUAACAGGGAGAAGCUUGCUUCUCUGCUGACGAGCGGCGGACGGGUGAGUAAUGUAUGGGGAUCUGCCUGAUGGCGGGGGAUAACUACUGGAAACGGUAGCUAAUACCGCAUAAU
RNAcentral lists this ribosomal RNA (184 nucleotides) under Salmonella enterica subsp. enterica serovar Enteritidis. Its description in RNAcentral is "partial 16S ribosomal RNA". It matches the Rfam family "Bacterial small subunit ribosomal RNA", at positions 1 to 177 of the family's 1533-position model. The record is from RNAcentral. Lineage: Bacteria; Pseudomonadati; Pseudomonadota; Gammaproteobacteria; Enterobacterales; Enterobacteriaceae.